UAGGGUUAUAGUCAACUAUGAUAUGUGAUUUGCAUUCUCAAGGUGUUCAAUGAACUAACCUUAU
Molecule: transfer RNA, 64 nt
Filed under: Scyllarides squammosus
Lineage: Eukaryota; Metazoa; Arthropoda; Malacostraca; Decapoda; Scyllaridae
Description: tRNA-Ala
Source: RNAcentral